GAUGAACGCUAGCGGCAGGCCUAAUACAUGCAAGUCGAACGAGAUUAAGAGGCUUGCUUCUUAUGAAAGUGGCGCACGGGUGCGUAACGCGUAUGCAACCUACCUUAAUCAGGGGGAUAGCCCGAAGAAAUUCGGAUUAAGACCGCAUAAAAACACAGGAUAGCAUUAUCCAAUGUUCAAAUAUUUAUAGGAUUACGAUGGGCAUGCGUGUCAUUGGCUAGUUGGCGGGGUAACGGCCCACCAAGGCGACGAUGACUAGGGGAUCUGAGAGGAUGACCCCCCACACUGGUACUGCGACACGGACCAGACUCCUACGGGAGGCAGCAGUAAGGAAUAUUGGUCAAGGGAGGGAACUCUGAACCAGCCAUGCCGCGUGCAGGAAGACAGCCCUCGGGGUCGUAAACUGCUUUUAGUCGGGAAUAAACCUUUCUACGUGUAGGAAGCUGAAUGUACCGAAGGAAUAAGGAUCGGCUAACUCCGUG
Molecule: ribosomal RNA, 482 nt
Filed under: uncultured bacterium
Lineage: Bacteria
Description: partial 16S ribosomal RNA
Rfam family: Bacterial small subunit ribosomal RNA
Source: RNAcentral